UACGUAGGGUGCGAGCGUUGUCCGGAAUUAUUGGGCGUAAAGAGCUUGUAGGCGGUUUGUCGCGUCUGCCGUGAAAAUCCGGGGCUCAGCCCCGGACUUGCGGUGGGUACGGGCAGACUAGAGUGUGGUAGGGGAGACUGGAAUUCCUGGUGUAGCGGUGAAAUGCGCAGAUAUCAGGAGGAACACCGAUGGCGAAGGCAGGUCUCUGGGCCACUACUGACGCUGAGAAGCGAAAGCGUGGGGAGCGAACAGG
Molecule: ribosomal RNA, 253 nt
Filed under: uncultured bacterium
Lineage: Bacteria
Description: partial 16S ribosomal RNA
Rfam family: Bacterial small subunit ribosomal RNA
Source: RNAcentral